Molecule: ribosomal RNA, 492 nt
Filed under: uncultured bacterium
Lineage: Bacteria
Description: partial 16S ribosomal RNA
Rfam family: Bacterial small subunit ribosomal RNA
Source: RNAcentral
AGUGAACGCUGGCGGUAGGCCUAACACAUGCAAGUCGAACGGCAGCACAGUAAGAGCUUGCUCUUACGGGUGGCGAGUGGCGGACGGGUGAGGAAUACAUCGGAAUCUACUUUUUCGUGGGGGAUAACGUAGGGAAACUUACGCUAAUACCGCAUACGACCUACGGGUGAAAGCAGGGGAUCUUCGGACCUUGCGCGAUUGAAUGAGCCGAUGUCGGAUUAGCUAGUUGGCGGGGUAAAGGCACACCAAGGCGACGAUCCGUAGCAGGUCUGAGAGGAUGAUCAGCCACACUGGAACUGAGACACGGUCCAGACUCCUACGGGAGGCAGCAGUGGGGAAUAUUGGGCAAUGGGCGCAAGCCUGAUCCAGCAAUACCGCGUGGGUGAAGAAGGCCUUCGGGUUGUAAAGCCCUUUUGUUGGGAAAGAAAAGCAGCAGGUUUAUACCCCGCUGUUCUGACGGUACCCAAAGAAUAAGCACCGGCUAACUUCGCG